GACAAAACACAAUGGAUCCAUGUUCUUAGGAAAGUAGCCGAGAAACACCAAGUGUGCCAGCAAAAAUCAUGCUUCCACAGCUGGCACAACCACAACCUUUAGUUUCCUAUCCUUAGAGAGAUACAAGAAGAGAUCAGUCCUCUAUAGAAAAUUUACAGGAAUUUAUAUCACAGUUCACAUCUUCUUAAUUAACUCCUAUUGCAAUUUGCUAUGUCCACUACUCCUUGUACAACAACUAAUCUUAGCUUUAACAUAUGGUUGUGCGGUUAUCUUGCAUUGCUUAUAUUAUUCACAUGUGCAUGUGCAUGUUCAUGUUCAUGAUGUGAAACUCUUCACGUCCAAGCAUCAAACUGAAUUAACAUGUUCUUCCAAUGAUCUUGUAGACCCUUUAAAAAAUGGUUGAUUGUAGACAUACCACCAUUUCCUGCAACGACGGUGCACAGAGGGCAAGGUAAUGCCCCUCUAGCUUCAAGAAAUAUCUUAAAUGAACCGAAUUUAUAACACCUAAUUACAGUGCUAAGAGCAAUAUAGAACAAAUUUGACAUUCAAUACAUUUGCACCUACUAUUCAUACCUAGUCAAUAAUAUCUUAAUAAAUAUAGUAGAUUAGUUUGGUGGCAAGAAUAUGGCAAAGAUACAUUAAGAUAAGUAGAAUGGAAUAGCAGAUUCACUUGAAGGCAGCGUGAUUCCAGCAUUAACCAAUGUAAAUAACCACCUAUAAAUACUCUAUACUUGAGAGCUAAAAAGGUUUCAGGAAACCAUUAAAUAUUAUAAGAUGAGGAACACAUACCUAUAACAUUUCGAGUGCAAGAAAUUUUUGGAUCUACAUCUACAACUAAAACAUGAAGCAUAAUAGAGGCCUUUUUGCAGUGAACAGUGGAGAGAAACAAAGAGAAAAUGUAUGAGUGUAUUACUUACUCACUGAAACGAAAAACAAUUGCUAAUACACAGUACAUUAAUAGUGAAACUGAUUGUUUUAGACUGCUUUUGCUAUACUUCACCCAAAAACUUCAAAAGUAAUCCUCAUAAAACUGGUCCCAGAAAC
RNAcentral lists this long non-coding RNA (1044 nucleotides) under Brachypodium distachyon (stiff brome). RNAcentral's name for it is "long non-coding RNA (BDIS_LNC004041)". The record is from RNAcentral. Lineage: Eukaryota; Viridiplantae; Streptophyta; Magnoliopsida; Poales; Poaceae.